GUCAGAAGACUGUUCCAGGUUGAGAAACUAGCAUAUGCAAAGGCCUCAGGGGAAAGAGCGUGAAGCAAGGUAGAGGACUGAAGGAAGUGUGGUUGGGCUGGAGUAGAAGGCAGUAGGUGGGGAUUAGCUCAUGAACAUUCUGAGAAGCCAAGCUGAGGGAUUUAGACUCUAUCCUUGAACCAUGAAGCAUUUUGCUCAAAGAGUGAUUCUAAUCAGCAAUGCUGGCUGCUGGAUGGGGCUUGUCUAGACACGUGUCAAGCAAGAGAUGAAGGUGGCCUCGACUCAGGUCCUCCUGUAGGUCCUGCCCUCAGCAGAAGUUUGGAACCUUCUGAGUGAGCCGGCAUGAAUGCCCUGCUUCCCCUCUUGCACAACUCAUGGCUUCUCUACUGCCUGCUGAUGGAAUUAUUGAUUGUUUGUCAUAUCGUCAAGACAUGUCAGAACUUGCAGCAGAGACCUUGGCAGUCACAGCUCCCAACUCUUCACUGGACAAAAGAGCAGCCUAAGGCUCAGACCUGAGAAGUGAUUUCACCAGGGUCACACAGCCAGCUUGGGGCAGAAUUGGGAUUCAGGCACCUGUCUCUUGACUUCUCCUGUCUCCUCUCUCCAUUGCACCAGACGUGGAGAGACACAGAGAAUCUAAAAGAAGAAAGAAAAAAAAAGAUUCUUGUUGAAUAUCUUGGGUUUCUAGCUUUCAAGGACAGUUUUCUGAUUAGCAGCAACGAUGCCUCAAAAGCUAUGGUAGCUAGCUUGAAUGAACUUACGUAACAAACAUUUAUCACAGAACAUGUGGCAUCAGACACCUGCUAGAUCUGAGCGUUGGCGCCAAAGCUGCUUUCACUGUCAAAGGAAAGAGGGGGAAAAGGAACUUGGCUGAACAACGCUAGCAGACCUUUUACUAGAAAAUUCAGAGGUAAUUUCUGGAGGAACAGGAACAUAUUUCCAAGGCUCUUAAAAUGUAGUUAAAUGUGAUUGGGUGAAUUUAGUAGUUAAAAAAAUGAAGGGCACUGAGGACCAUUUGGUUCCUAAGGCCUCUUCCAGACAGGGCCCUUCUGUCUGCCUAGGUCAUAGAGUCCUGGAAGCCUCAAGGUGGGUAGGCCCUGAGGUUGCCCAGAGCAAUGUCUGAGGUUGCAGGUCUCCAUCUAGGCUCCCAUAUAAACACAUCCCAAUGAACUCAUGGUUCUCACUGGAAUCUCUUCUCAUUAGUAGAACAUGACCAAAGUCAAAGAGACACGGGCCAUUUGUUUCUAAAAUGGAGUCCAUCCAUACAAAGUGGAUUCUUUGACCUAUUUUGGAGGUCAACCUACAACAACAAAAUGGGACAGUUGCCAAAUAUGUUCCCUUUGGCUACUCACAGUUCCCUUUGGCUACUCACAAACUCUUGAACUGUGAGAUCUGUUCAUUUGUCGACUCAAUUAAUAACUAUCAUUGAGAGAGCAUUGGACUAGAAAACCUGUUGCACCUGCCAGUGUAACAAGCUCUCUGAACCUCAGUUUCCUCACGCAUAAGAUACUACUCAUUAUCUGCCUUGCAGACCUCACUUAGUUAUUGUGAGCAUCAAAAUGUAUGACACAUGGAAGCACUGUUUAAACUCUAAAGCCUGCCAUGAGUGUGAAGGAUUGUUGCUACUACUUUGUGCCCAACAGUGUGCUAGGCACUGGGGGGUAACAAAAGAAAUGUAAGAAAUGAUCCCUACCCUCCAGAAACUUACAACUCCGUAUUGGGAAACCAAGAUACACCCAAACUAAACAGGUAUGUCACACCUCAAGGCUGUAUUUACUACUUAAAUGAUAGCUAAGGACUCCGAGCCCUUUAGGAGUGCAGAGAAGUGGGAGAUCAUUAAUUGGCUAGAGAAGUUGAGAAUAUCUCCUGGAGGAGGUGGGGCGUGAGUUGGGUGUUGUAGUAGACAGAGAAGAUUAAGAAGGUCUUCAUGGGUGUGGCACAACUCAGUUAACCAGUGGAGGGUUUUCUUGGUAGACUUUGGGUGGACCAAUUUACUUGGAGUUAGAACUUCCAGUCAAGCUGGAGUUAGGGAUUUAAGAAUUUGAGGAGAGUUACAGGUAAGGGGAAGUCAGAGCAGUUUUUAGACCAAUGCUAGGUUAUGAUGAAAUGAUGACUUGGGAGGAUGUAUAUGUAAAAGAAGGACUUGUAGGGAGAUACAGGAGAGAAGAGGCUGCUGUAGAAAUCCAGGCUGGGGAUGAUGUGGUUCUGGACCAGAUCAAUGGAAAUGAUAAGAGAAAGAAAUCCAUGUAAGUGAAGGAUAGUUAUGUUUGUAGCAGGAGGACAAGUCAUGUCCUCCUCUCUUGGUGUCUAAACUUUGGGAUUUGAGUUAAACUGGGCAAGGAGGGGCAAAAGUAGGGAGUAUCUUCAUAUGUACAUUGGAAGAUUCUUGAAAAUCCAAAUUGAUCUCACAGUGUCUAUUCGUCUAUCUAUCAAAAAGAAUUUGAAGUUGUCGGCUAAUCCACAGAAUCAUAGAUUUUCAGAGUUGGAUGGGACCAUAAAGGUUACCCAGUCAUAUGUGUGGCCAUUUAAGAAUUUCUGCUCCAAUAUCCCCACCAAGUUCUAAUCCAUCCUCUUCCUGAACCUCUCUAAUGGUGGGAGUUCAUUACCACUUGAAGACCUUUCCACGGUUGGAUCUGUCUGUAGUUUCACAGUGUUUUAAUUUUGAGCUUUUGUGAAUUUUCCUGAUUGGAUUUCUUAUUGGCCUCCAGGGUCAUAGAGAACACUUUAAACUCCUCUUACAUCUUCUUGAUUCAGCCAUUUAAUUGAAGAUGCAGGCCCCGUCUUCCUGAGUUUUCCUCAUCCCCCUCAUUUGUAAAUUACUGUUUACAUUAAAUAAGUAAAGUGCCACAAAAUCUCGUCACUUCUAUUUUUAUUUAUCACUUGACCCAAAGACAAGAGAGUCAGAUUCUGGACCUUACA
Molecule: long non-coding RNA, 2919 nt
Organism: Diceros bicornis minor
Lineage: Eukaryota; Metazoa; Chordata; Mammalia; Perissodactyla; Rhinocerotidae
Exons: 3
Source: RefSeq, a predicted model, not a curated record